Molecule: small RNA, 31 nt
Filed under: Plasmodium falciparum 3D7
Lineage: Eukaryota; Apicomplexa; Aconoidasida; Haemosporida; Plasmodiidae
Description: Pfa-rasR6224
Source: RNAcentral
UUUUAAUGUAUGAUGUGUGGUGCUUUUAUGG